UUAGGGCUCCCGUCGGGCAGCUCUAUAUAAGGGGGAGGCGCGGGCCUAUCGGCCCCUUUUUCUCGGCGAGCCGCACAGGGACGGGGGUGGAAAUGUGAAUACUGCACAUGCAAGAGGUUUUCUCCUAGAGCUGAGAACAAUCAAAAGAUACCAUGGUCCAAGAAGUCUGCAUCCUAGGAAUGAGUUGCUUUGGAGGAGGACAGCACUAAUUUCCUUUGAAAUUGUGUAACAUAAGUGCUGUUGAAGAGCCACAAUCAGAGGUGUCAAACCAGACGUGCUUGAGGAGCAGUAUGAUGUACCUUCCUGGGCUACAGAAGCAGGGCUGGCCUUACCAUGAGAGUUCAGAGUGGGGGAGGAACCUUGACAGCAUCAGAGACAGUGUUGACACGUGAUGACAUUCGCGAUAUUGAUGUGAGUGAUUUAGGUGAUGAACUGAAAGCCCUUUCAAGAUACAUUUCAGCUGGAUCAACUCCAAAGGCUGUUCUGGAAUAUAUGUGCACAAAUAAGAUGACCACCCUCUUUCCAAAUGUUUUUGUUGCUCUGCGCAUACUUCUAACACUUCCUGUAACAGUUGUCCGUGGAGAACACAGCUUCUCCAAGUUGAAGUUAAUAAAAUCACAUCUACGCUCCACAGUGACACAGGAGAGGCUGGUUGGCCUUGCAACCAUCUCAGUAGAGCAUGAGCUCGCCCAGACUGUGGACCUUCAGGAAGCAGUUCAAAUCUUUGCAACCAAGAAGGCACGGAAAGCACCACUUUGAUUAUUCAAAAGAUAAAAAUGCCAGUGUUCACUAUGCAGACAAGAAAAGUUACAUUUGCUGUUCAGGUGUUUGAAAGUUGUGUUACUUAAAAUUUUUGAACAAGGCAUUUUAAGUUGUUAGUUCUCCUUUAUUGGGGGUAGGUAGCAGAGCAGUAACAUGAGAGGAGUAGAACAGGAAGAAGGCAGAAUGGAGACAUUUCAAAGGUUUGGCCCAAGCAAGGGGGAAUGGGGGCGUCAUUUGAGCUCCCCGCCUCGGGUGCCAAAAUGUUGCGUGCCAGCCCUGUACUGAAGUAUUGCAGUGUCUAGCACAGCAUUUUGAGGAAUGCAUUUAUUUAAAGUUCUUAUUCUAAUAUGCUGGUGCACUUUGU
Molecule: non-coding RNA, 1126 nt
Organism: Caretta caretta (loggerhead turtle)
Lineage: Eukaryota; Metazoa; Chordata; Testudines; Cheloniidae
Source: RefSeq, a predicted model, not a curated record